This 1407-nucleotide long non-coding RNA is filed under the name Callithrix jacchus (white-tufted-ear marmoset). RNAcentral describes it as "lncRNA (ENSCJAG00000072583.1)". The record is from RNAcentral. Lineage: Eukaryota; Metazoa; Chordata; Mammalia; Primates; Cebidae.
AUGAAACAAGGUGGCUCACAAGAACUGUCUAAGGGGACCCAACUUCUCACCAUGGGAUGGAUCAAUAGCUCAAUAUUAUCAGCUACUACGUAUCGACAUUUCCAGCACACUAGGCACUGUGCUAAGAACUUCUACGUACAUUUAAUUCCGCUGUGUCCGAAAUACACCAAGCAAAACCCCUGUAAACUCCAAAGGUAGGUCGUAUCAGCUUCAUUUUAUUUAGUUUUACUUUUUUGAGGCAGGGCUCACUCUGUCACCUGGGCUGGAAUGUAGUGGCACCAGCAUGGCUCCCUGCGGUUUCAACCUCCUGGGCUCAAGCAAUCCUCCCAUCCCAGCCACCGACCCUCCCACCCCACACAGUGUGUGCCACCACAUUUGGCUCAUUUUUUGUAGAGAUGUGGCUUUACUAUGUUGUCCAGGCAAAAUCCCCAUUCUGUGGGUGAGCAAGUAGCCAAUCUAGGCCAAGAACCCACGUUUGACUCCAAAGGCAAACUCGUUUGUAGCCUCUCGGUUUCAACAGCCAGAAGAGGGAAAGUGGCCAUUGUACAACAUGUUGAGAGAAUAAGAUUCUUUUAGUAUAGGCCUUAAGAUAGACAAAUCAGAAGCUCAAUACAGCUCUUCAGUAGAGGCAAUAGCCAGUUCAUGUGAGAGCUCUGCAGUGAUCACUCGAGGGGUAACUUGACAGGAGAAGUAGGAAUAUAGAAUGUACAUAUGCAUGGGUUUGCACACAUGUAUUUAGUAAGACAUGUAUUGACCUGUAUAUACACACAUAUAUAUGCAUUAUUAGCUUUUUGCUUCUGUAAUUUAACCUUGGUUGAACAUGGUAUUGUUUUAUCUGUUCCUGAACAAAUGUGAGAAAGAUGGGAUAGAGUAGACUCGAAUAAGCAUAGUCCCAAGAUGAAUGGGCUUCCCAGUAUGGCGGGUGGUCUUGUAGUAUGCUUAGAGAUGGGAGGCUCAGAACAACUUAACACGAACAAUUUGUUUCUGUGUCUUUGUCUUUAGCAAAUCAUUAGAGACCAAAAAAAAAAAAAAAAAAAUUGUCUGUCUCCCUCAACUGAGGAUUUCCUAAUUUUGGCAUUGCAGAAAGGCACUAUCUUUUAGCUUACCUGAUACGGUUUAAUAAAGAGGCUUGUUGCUCAGCACAACUGUUAUUUUUAAAAAUUUUUUAAAAAUUAGUUUGCUGCUGCGAUUUUCUUCUGUUUUUGUCACUGUGAUUCGACUUUUUAAGAUAGCCAGUCCCAAAAGCUCAAAUUUCCCAAUAUACCACUGGGAAUAAUGGGAAGUGGAGCAGCUCUGCUUCUGGCUCUUCACCUCUGAACCUAUGUAUUCUUUCUCUCAGAGGCAUAGAGCAAAAUGAAGGUCUUUGCGUCAGUCCAUAUGCUGCAUAUGGCGGAUGAUGUAAAUUCU